AUUACUGGGAGGGGAACUUGAGAGCCGCGGGUUGAUGUUCGGAGCUCAGGCGACGACUGACCACCCACCCUUCCUCGAAGAGGAACAAUGGCUUGUCCCCUUUCUUGAUUCCAAAGGAAAUAUAGCAUUCAAGCGCCAUGUCUGUUGGGAAUAUAUAAUUCCUUGGCAAAGAAAGAGGAAACAUUUCUCUGAUAAACACAAGAAUCUCAGUAAGAAUUGCAUUAUUGAGAACUUUUCCCACUGAUAAAGUAGGGAAGAGGAAGGGGAAAAUAGCUUUGAAUUUGGAUUAAGGUCUAUAAUUACGUGGCUGAUGGAAUUUGAGAAAUGGCAGGUGUGAGGACUCUGACCUUCCCAUGAAGCAGGUCAUAAGACCCUCAUGUGAGAGAUGCCCUCUCUAUACCUGGAGAAAAGAAGCAGUCUUAUUUGUGAAGACAGAGAGACGCCAAGAGGAAUCUAAAUGAAUAGGCCUUGG
RNAcentral lists this long non-coding RNA (472 nucleotides) under Homo sapiens (human). RNAcentral's name for it is "HSALNT0076091". The record is from RNAcentral. Lineage: Eukaryota; Metazoa; Chordata; Mammalia; Primates; Hominidae.